This 493-nucleotide ribosomal RNA is filed under the name Fusarium oxysporum. Its description in RNAcentral is "eukaryotic LSU rRNA". The stretch from base 127 to 280 matches the Rfam family "5.8S ribosomal RNA". Lineage: Eukaryota; Fungi; Ascomycota; Sordariomycetes; Hypocreales; Nectriaceae. The record is from RNAcentral.
CCCUGUGACAUACCACUUGUUGCCUCGGCGGAUCAGCCCGCUCCCGGUAAAACGGGACGGCCCGCCAGAGGACCCCUAAACUCUGUUUCUAUAUGUAACUUCUGAGUAAAACCAUAAAUAAAUCAAAACUUUCAACAACGGAUCUCUUGGUUCUGGCAUCGAUGAAGAACGCAGCAAAAUGCGAUAAGUAAUGUGAAUUGCAGAAUUCAGUGAAUCAUCGAAUCUUUGAACGCACAUUGCGCCCGCCAGUAUUCUGGCGGGCAUGCCUGUUCGAGCGUCAUUUCAACCCUCAAGCACAGCUUGGUGUUGGGACUCGCGUUAAUUCGCGUUCCUCAAAUUGAUUGGCGGUCACGUCGAGCUUCCAUAGCGUAGUAGUAAAACCCUCGUUACUGGUAAUCGUCGCGGCCACGCCGUUAAACCCCAACUUCUGAAUGUUGACCUCGGAUCAGGUAGGAAUACCCGCUGAACUUAAGCAUAUCAAUAAGCGGAGGAA